RNAcentral lists this ribosomal RNA (291 nucleotides) under uncultured archaeon. Its description in RNAcentral is "partial 16S ribosomal RNA". It matches the Rfam family "Archaeal small subunit ribosomal RNA", at positions 345 to 637 of the family's 1478-position model. The record is from RNAcentral.
AAACUUCGCAAUGUGCGCAAGCACGACGAGGGAAUCCUAAGUGCCUAUGCUUUGCAUAGGCUGUUCUCCCGUCUAAAAAACAGGGGGAGUAAGGGCUGGGUAAGACGGGUGCCAGCCGCCGCGGUAACACCGGCAGCUCAAGUGGUAGCCAUUUUUAUUGGGCCUAAAGCGUUCGUAGCCGGUUUGAUAAGUCUCUGGUGAAAUCCCAUAGCUUAACUGUGGGAAUUGCUGGAGAUACUAUCAGGCUUGAGGUCGGGAGAGGUUAGGGGUACUCCCAGGGUAGGGGUAAAA